ACAGGUUUGCUGUUUAAAGAUUUCCUUUGGCUCUCAGCAGAUAAGAGGCCAAUAUACUCAAACUCUUAUCUACUGCAGUGAAUACAUUAAGUGGCAUUGAUAAGGUUGGAAAUGUGGCAUAGGCAUAUUGAGUCUAAUGGCUUGUUAAGUGCAUGUGUCAGCUUCUUCUUUCUGAAAACUUCAGGAAGAACUGCAUGCUCCUGAUAAAUUUAUUUAAAUUGCCACCCUUGACACACAAACAGAAUAGAAUACCUUAAUUAGAGUAAGAAAGUUGUUCACUUUCCUGCGUCACUAAUGGAGAUUGACAGAGGACUUACUUAGAGAGUUAUAAAUAGAAUUUAGGCUGCUGUGAGGAAAAGAGAAACCAAAAUGAUACCAGCUGUACCAGGAGAAGAACUGAAGAGGCAUCCAAGGAUGUUUUCCUAGUCAUCAAUUCCCAGGUCUUCACUAUUUUUAGGGGCUGACAGUUUUAUAAAUAAGUCAGCAAGGGCUUUUCCACCUUACCUUAAUCUGCUAUGAGUUGCUGGUUUGAGCUCAAGUGGUGACAAUUCAAAGAAGAACAUUCAUGGGGCUAUGUUUUCAACAGAACUGGUGAAACCAUAUCCACACAGGCUAUGGAAGCAGACUCAGCAGACUUGCUGUUCAAAAGACCAUUCCUAAGGAUUUUUAAGAAUUUUUUUUCUGUUGAAAAAAAAAAAACCUGUAUUUCCAAUCUCAUCUGCAUGUACUGCCACAACAUACUGGAUGUAAAUAAAUUUAAAGAGAUUGUGGACGGUAAGGUCUUGUGGAAGGAUCUACUUCAUGGAUGGCAUCUGCUACUGUGCACAUUCAUUCAUUCAUUGAUGUUAAACAUGUUCUUCACAACCCAGAAUUCAGAGUGAUUCAGUAAAGAGAGGACAUGAAGCUGCAGCUUCCCUACCCUAAAUGAAGCUGCAGCCUAAAUGAAGCCACAGCGACCAUCUUUGCAAAGGGCACACAGUGUCCAUUACUGCAGGCCAUGGCUGUGGAGGCCACCACAGCAGGCGGCAAUGGAUGAUGGCAGCACCAGAUAGUGGCAGAGGCUAAGGUAGGGAGAGGAAGGAGGCAGGGGAUAGGCUGUGGGCAUGGGUGGCUGUGGGCGUGGGUGGCUGCCUAUUGGCCUGUUGAUUGGCAGGCCCAUAGGCAGAAUGGGAAAGCCAUAGGAAGAGAGGGAAGGCUGGCCUUCCAGAAGACCCAGCCAACAUACCAAUGAGUGGGAAUUCUGAGAGUUGCAAUCCAGAAUCAUCUGGGGAAUCAUACAUGGGAAACACAAUCUUGAAGGAUGACGUUUUACAGCUGGGAAUGCUCAUAAGCGGAGACAUACAAGUCUUCUGUGGCACACAGCAUUCGGGAGUUCUUAAGUUUACCUUAAA
Molecule: long non-coding RNA, 1391 nt
Filed under: Pogona vitticeps (central bearded dragon)
Lineage: Eukaryota; Metazoa; Chordata; Lepidosauria; Squamata; Agamidae
Description: lncRNA (ENSPVIG00000019380.1)
Source: RNAcentral